AAUGCGCACGAGUGCCAUUAACACGUGAUUGAUGAGCCAGUCUUUUUCCUGAAUUCGCGUUUGCUUUUGUUGCAAAUAGUUUCCUGGGAAAGAAGAGCGAGCAAAUAGAAAAGGGAGAGUGGGAAGACCCAUUUCCGGUGAGGAGAUGGCAUCUCAGAGGGGCUACAUGACUUGCUGAAUGUUGCCCAAAUGUUAAGUCACAGGCCUUGAACUCAGGACUUCUCAACUCAGAAUCCGGCCCCCCUUCCCUGGCUGUGAGUCAUCUCAGCUUCAUGGACCUGCGUUGAGAUGGGAGAGCUACAGGCCCUGUAGCUGCCAAUGGGUGAAAGCUGCGGGCUUCAUCCCUGUGUAUGUAAGGAGAGCUUAGACAGACGGACAGAUGGGUAGGCACUCAUACUUACACCCCCGCACGUGGACUCUCAGUUCCUAAGACCUGGAUAGGCACAGAGUUUCAUACUUUGGCCCUUACACAGUGCGAGAUCUGCUUAAGUGAUGGUCAUCCCUUCCAAUCAAUAUGGCGGCUUCAUCUCAAUGGCAAUCCCUGGAGACCUUGGUGACCAAGGAGGAGCGUACCAGGAGCAAAUUAUGAGAGACCUUCGCUGAAGCAUGAUCAGCUUGGUUUCUGGCUUCUUGGUUCCUUGGUUCCUCUUGACCAUGUG
Molecule: long non-coding RNA, 659 nt
Organism: Cebus imitator (Panamanian white-faced capuchin)
Lineage: Eukaryota; Metazoa; Chordata; Mammalia; Primates; Cebidae
Exons: 3
Source: RefSeq, a predicted model, not a curated record